UGACCACGCUAUCCGGAUUUGCCCCAUUGAUACUUUCUAUGUUUGGAUUGGGUCUUCUCUAACCGUACCCUAACUUCCUUCUGCUUCAGCUGUAACAAACACCGCUCGCAUUGCUUCUGCUUCUUCAGCCACAGUUCAUGCAAUGGAUAUGUCAGAUGCGGUAACAGCCAAAUCUAGCCGGCUAAAAUCUGUUGUAUGGAAUGAUUUUGAUAGGGUUAAAAAAGGCGAUGCCUGUGUGGCUAUAUGUAGGCAUUGUAAAAAGAGGUUGAGUGGAUCUAGUAGUAGUGGAACAUCUCAUUUAAGGAACCAUUUGAUCAGGUGUCUGAGGAGAUCUAACAAUGGAAUAUCACCAUCCAUUUCAGCAAGGGAAAAGAGGAAGGAAGGGGCUCUUGCAAUAUCAAAUAUCAGUUUUGAUCAAGAUCAGAAAAAGGAUGAUGACCUUAGCCUUGUGAACAUUAAAUUUGAGCAGGAGCAGUUGAAAGAUGACAUUUUCAGCAAUGGAAACAAGAACUUUGAUCAAAGACGGAGUCAAUUGGAUCUUGCUCGCAUGAUUAUCUUGCAUGGAUAUCCAUUGACUAUGGUCGAGCAUGUUGGUUUUAAAGUAUUUGUGAAAAAUCUUCAGCCACUGUUUGACCUUGUGACAGUGAAUAGCAUUGAGGCUGACUGCAUUGAGCUCUAUGAGAAAGAGAAACAGAAGAUGAAUGAAAUGUUGGAUAAAUUACCUGGUAAAAUCAGCCUUAGUGCUGAUGUGUGGAUGGCUAUGGGUGAUACUGAGUAUCUGUGUUUGACAGCAAAUUACAUAGAUGAAUCAUGGCAGUUGAGAAAGAGAAUCCUAAAUUUUAUCAUGAUCGAUCCUUCUCAUACUGAAGACAUGCUUUUGGAGGCUAUUACGACGUGUCUGAUGGACUGGGAUAUUGACCGUAAGUUAUUUUCCAUGACAUUGGAUACUUGUUCCACCAAUGAUAACAUCGCCAAGAGAAUUGGUGAGCGUCUUUCACAGAAUAGGUUCCUUUAUUGUAAUGGUCAACUAUUUGAUAUACGCUGUGCUGCAAAUGUUAUUAAUAUAAUGGUUCAGGAUGCUCUGGGAGCAGUAAGUGACAUAGUCAAUAAGGUUCGAGAAAGUAUUCGUUAUAUUAGAAGUUCACACUCUGUAUUGGAAAAGUUCAAUGACUUGGUUAAAGAAGUUGGGAUCCAGAGUAAAAAAUAUUUAUUUCUUGAUAAUCAAAUGCAAUGGAAUUCCACCUAUUCAAUGCUUGAGACUGCCUUGGAAUUCAGGGAUGUACUUACUCUUCUACAAGAAAAUGACAAUGCGUACAGAAUCAGUCUUUCCAAUGUAGAGUGGGAGAGAGCCACUGCAGUCACUAGUUACUUGAAAUAUUUUGCUGAUGUUACAAAUGUUCUCACAAGGAGCAAGUAUCCAACGGCAAACAUUUACUUCCCUGAGCUUUGUGAUGUAAAGUUGCAGUUGAUGGAAUGGUGCAAAACCUCAGAUGAAUGUAUUAAUGGUUUGACGUUAAAGAUGAGAAGCAAGUUUGAUGAAUAUUGGGAGAAAUGCAGUUUAGGCUUGGCAGUUGCAGCAAUGUUAGAUCCUCGAUUCAAGAUGAAAUUGGUAGAGUAUUACUACCCACAAAUCUAUGGUAGCACUUCUGCUGGUCGCAUUGAUGAGGUCUUUGAUGGUGUGAAGGCCCUGUAUAAUGAGCUCUCAAUCUGCUCCCCAUUAGCUUCUUCUCAUGAUCAGGGAUUAGCCUGGCAGGUUGGGAAUGGGACGCUUUGUUUACCUGGUAAGGAUUCGAGGGAUAGAUUGAUGGGGUUUGACAAAUUCCUCCAUGAAACUUCUCAGGGUGAAGAUGUGAAAUCGGAUUUAGAAAAAUACUUAGAAGAACCUCUCUUUCCACGAAAUGUUGAUUUCAGCAUAUUAAACUGGUGGAAAGUACACACUCCGAGGUAUCCUGUCUUGUCCAUGAUGGCAAGAAACGUAUUAGGGGUUCCAAUGUCAAAGGUUUCACCAGAGUUGGCCUAUAGUAAUAAUGGAAGAGAACUUGAUCGUGAUUGGAGUUCACUUAACCCUGCCACUGUUCAAGCCUUGGUGUGUUCACAAGAUUGGAUACAGGGUGAACUGGAAAGUUAAAGAACUGCUUUUCUCCUGCCUUUUGACUUACAUAUGUUGAUUCUUCUCUUAAGAAAUUCCUUUAUCUCAGCAUCCUUGGUCAUCCACGAUCCACUUAGCCUUGGAGCAUCACUCUGGUCAUUGGUGUGCCUAUGCCCUUGGAACUCCCUGGGGUUUUUGAGCUUCAUAGAUGUUUGAAGAUCAGAAAAAAGACCUCCUUCCAUAUGGAUUCAAAAUUUGAGCAUGGAUCUCCAUCUGGUGACAACUGCAAUUACUUUUCCUUGUUGAGACCCCCCAUAACAAAAUCAGGAUUUUGUCUCCCCUGCAUAUCUAUAUAAUAGAUGCACUGCAUCCCCUUUGCUUCACGAGCCUACGAAGACAUUGUCGUGAACAUCCGGUCUCGGCCAAGAAAAUGGUGUUUGGUUAGGUGGCCUUUAGUCAGCUGCUCAAGUCAUAAAAUUAUCGAGGGGCAGCUUAGGCCCAAAGCCUUGGUAUUUUUCACGAGAAAAUGAUUCCCCUUAACC
Neltuma alba is the source of this 2631-nucleotide RNA transcript. It is a transcript of the gene named zinc finger BED domain-containing protein RICESLEEPER 2, with no coding region annotated. The record is from RefSeq and is a predicted model, not a curated record. Lineage: Eukaryota; Viridiplantae; Streptophyta; Magnoliopsida; Fabales; Fabaceae. The transcript is spliced from 3 exons.